Molecule: long non-coding RNA, 1589 nt
Organism: Micropterus salmoides (largemouth bass)
Lineage: Eukaryota; Metazoa; Chordata; Actinopteri; Centrarchiformes; Centrarchidae
Exons: 5
Source: RefSeq, a predicted model, not a curated record
GUUAUGGAGCUCAGAGCUGAGCCAGAUUCUCUAUCAGGCACGACUGGAGGACGCUGCAGUCAUUGUGAUAAUAGAAGAGCUGUAGAGUUAGCUGUUCACCUUUCUGUCGUCCUUUGCUUCAAGCCAUCAAGUGCAUCGGGCCAGGUGCUUGGCUGAUUGGGCUCCAGAGCGAUAGAUUGAGAGGUUUGGUUUCAGCAUGACACUGUGUGAAAAAGGAUGACUCCUUUACCUCAGAAAACCUCCCUUCCCAGCGCUGUCAUCCAGCGUGCAUAGCUGGUGCAUGCCGGUGGAAGUUGCUUUUACUGGAGUCCUGAGAAUAUAGCUCAGGCCCCCCUCCCCGCUGUACUGGGACUUUAUGGAGCUGCAGGCUAAUCACAGCGAGCUGCCCAUCCUGUUUCCAGUCCUCACAGUGACGUUCACCAUCGAGGGAGGGCUUGGCAAGGUUGCAGAGGCAAGAGAGGUCUGCAUUUUCACAGCACUCCCUCCCCUCACCCUGCAGCAGGUCAGACAAGGUUGUGGCUCCCUGAUGACUCUGGUUCAUGGGUGAGCUAGGCAGCGUUUAAUGAGAGUAACUUAACCCUUUUAUCACACCAAGUGCUGAAAUGACAAAUGAGCAGCAGAGGAAAGAAGGCAGUGGGUUAGGACUCAUUUCACUUAAAUUUAUUUAUUUUGCUAUUUUAGCAAAGUUGUAUGGAAAUUGCUUGUUUAUGAGCAGAUGACAUGAAAAAGCAGUAAAAAGCCAGAAGAAACACUAAAAAAGGCAUUGUUGUUCUGGAGAAGGACAGUAAGAGUGUGAUUGUGUGUGUGUGUUUGUGAGAGGGUGGGUGUUGAUCUUUCAGGGCCAAUAAUGCACAAGCAUUGCAAAGGGUGUCAAUCAAACUCCAUUUCUCAUCACAUCCAGAUCUUCAGCCAUCCCUGCGCCAACAGUGUCUAGUCUUCAUCAGGGGAGAUCCAAUACUACUCAUGGCUUCCCUACCACCUUAAAAUAUGAUAACAUCACAACGGUGUCUCAUCUUUAUUAUGCACAUGUCAAUGAAAUAUUUGUUCACUCAUAAUGAAGUCUCUCCUGAUUGAAAUAAUUAGAUUAGAGUGAUGAAGUUAGUUAGGAGAAGGUGAUUGGGACCAGGACAAAGAGGCUGAUGUCAUAUACAAGAAUAAAAUAAGCUCAAAUUGAUUAAGAAACCUAAAUCAAACAGAACCCAGAAGCUCUGCAUUAAAAGAGAAUUUUACAGUUUUACUGCAUAUAAAGCCCUUUUCAGAACUGUGCAAGGUAUGACAAAAAGUGUGAUGUCACUUGCUACAUUAGCCGCUACCAGCAUCACAUACUCACAAUCUGAGAUGCAUUGUGGGUAAUGCAGGCACCCGGUUUGACGAGGAAAAAAAUACGUGUCUUAAAAAAAAGAAGAUUUCACGUCAUUCCACUCCUCGACUUUAAUCUUUUCUCUUUUUUUUUUAACUCUCCAUUGUGAACCCGACAAUAGUGCAAUGCUAAAUAUGUGGUCUCCAGCAUGCAGCACUUUGCAGAACAGAAUCAAUGUAAUUAUAAACCUUUCUGAUUUUCUUGCAAACUGCUUUGGUGACAUUGUUGG